This 225-nucleotide long non-coding RNA is filed under the name Musa acuminata (dwarf banana). RNAcentral describes it as "long non-coding RNA (MACU_LNC000527)". Lineage: Eukaryota; Viridiplantae; Streptophyta; Magnoliopsida; Zingiberales; Musaceae. The record is from RNAcentral.
UCUUCUUUGUCGUCUCGCUUUGGAAUCCGGUGUCGGUGUUGACGGCGAACCUUUCCUCCCGCUCUUCCUCUCCUCAGCGCCUCCUCGUCGCCGCUGUUGCUUCCCUCUCUGCCGUCUCCAGUCGCCUUCCCUCCUCCUCUUCUUCUCUCUUCGUUGGUCGCUGGCCCCAAACCCAUCACUUCCUCGGACGAAUGGAGGUCCCCUUUUUAUUAAUUUCGUUCUUUC